GUUAUACUCCCUCCGCCCCAUAUUAGUUGUCGCUGAAGCGGAUGUAUCUAGACGUAUGUCAAUGCUAGAUACAUCCAUUUGAAUGACAACUAAUAUGGGACGGAGGUAGUAUUUC
This is a non-coding RNA of Triticum aestivum (bread wheat), 115 nucleotides long. NCBI's taxonomy places the organism in Eukaryota, Viridiplantae, Streptophyta, Magnoliopsida, Poales, Poaceae. The record is from Rfam.